CCGCACAUCAUGUUGGAACCCGCUCACGUACCUGCAGUGUCUUGAGAGGAGCGCCAAUAUCACUCACGUCACCGACUUGCUGAAGGUCAAGCUGGAUCCCGCAGAAUGCCGCCGGACGCUGCAGGCGGCGUCGGCGUGCUCCGCGGACCAGGCCUCUCGCUGCGCCGGCGUGCCUGGUCGGCUGGAUCAGGCGCUGACUGCCUUCCUGCUGGAGUCGCCGUGCGGCAGCUCGGCGCUUUACGUGCCGCCGGCGCCGGCCGCCGCCGCCACCGUCACCGGCGCUGCACUGGCCAUUACGGUGCUGGCGCUUGCCACAGUGCUGCUGGGAGUGGCGCUGGGCCUGCUGGCCUACCGCACCGCCUGCUUCCGCAUACCGCUAGCCGGUCGCUAGCAAAGCCAGGCGGGAUGCUAAGCGCCCGAGGCAUGGGCGAGAGGCUCAGAGCACAAGGAAGUGUCUGGAAGGUCGCGCCAGCUGCAGCUGUGGAUAGCUGGAGACUGGGCCGAGGCCGAACACCAGCCAGCGAAUCUGUCUCGGGCGUGUCCGUGGACGCGAUGCCGCUGCUGAGGUUACAUCGGCAGCGUCCGGUGCGUUCGAGUGCACGUGGGAGGGUAGGCCCAUCGAGAACGAGCGACUGUGGAGCCGUGCCAGGUCGGGAGCGGAACGGAGCAUCGGUUAGGGUCACUUAUAGCGUUACAUCUAUGGGUGCGUCAUUUAUAGUACUACAUUUUCUGCAUCGCCCUCGGCUCGUGUAGCGCCGUGCGGUUGUUGUCAUGUACGCCGUCUGUUGUCAUGAGCGCCAUCCGCCAACGGCGAGCAAGCGCUGUGCGGUCGUUGUCAUGUACGCCGUCUGUUAUAAUGAGCGCAACCCGUCAACGACAGACAAGCGCUGUGCGGCUGUUGUCAUGUGCGCCGUCUGUUGUCAUGAGCGCAUCCGUCAACGGCAAGCAAGCGCCGUGGCAGAUGACAUCCUGCGUGAACAUAGCACCCGCCUCGCCACAAAAUAUGAAGGAACACAUGUGUAGUUUUCGGGUUUGACAAGCAUGUCCACUCGCUAAGUUCCAUCUCGUUGACUGAUCUCAGACAACAAACAAUGCGUUGAGCAUUUGCAUAUUCCGGACCUUCAACGAACGUUCAGUAUUCGCCGCGAUUGAUCCGCGUCAAUACAACGUUUCAGAUGCA
Long non-coding RNA from Pollicipes pollicipes, 1180 nucleotides. RefSeq lists it as uncharacterized. NCBI's taxonomy places the organism in Eukaryota, Metazoa, Arthropoda, Thecostraca, Pollicipedomorpha, Pollicipedidae. The transcript has 2 exons. The record is from RefSeq and is a predicted model, not a curated record.